Xenopus laevis (African clawed frog) is the source of this 401-nucleotide long non-coding RNA. RefSeq lists it as uncharacterized. NCBI's taxonomy places the organism in Eukaryota, Metazoa, Chordata, Amphibia, Anura, Pipidae. The transcript is spliced from 3 exons. The record is from RefSeq and is a predicted model, not a curated record.
AGAGCCCACCAGCAAUCUCUCUGCUGCAGAUCCCACCAUGCUCCGUGCUGCCGUCAUUCUAUUGGUCGUCUUUGCAGUGGUGCUUAGUGGCCAAGAACUCUCAGAUCUGUCCUUUCUGACAUGUGCAAAUUACAGAGGGUACUGCCGCCACCAUUGCUUUGGGCACGAGUAUAAUCUGGGGGCCUCCAGCUGUCCUAAAAAAUUCAGGUGCUGUAUCUCUAGAACAUAAGAUGCAGUUUGGAUGUGCCCAUGAGACUGAUCAGCAGUGGUUACUACAUUAUGUUCCUAUUAACUGAAAAUCCUUGUUCAAGGCACCAAGAUAUUCUUCAAUGUUAUAUAAAUUUAAAUCUCCGGAACAACUAUUGUAUUAUAAAGAUGCAAUAAAUACUUAUUGUGGUUGA